GAUGAACGCUGGCGGCGUGCCUAAUACAUGCAAGUCGAGCGAACAGAUGAGGAGCUUGCUCCUCUGACGUUAGCGGCGGACGGGUGAGUAACACGUGGAUAACCUACCUAUAAGACUGGGAUAACUUCGGGAAACCGGAGCUAAUACCGGAUAAUAUAUUGAACCGCAUGGUUCAAUAGUGAAAGACGGUUUUGCUGUCACUUAUAGAUGGAUCCGCGCCGCAUUAGCUAGUUGGUAACGUAACGGCUUACCAAGGCAACGAUGCGUAGCCGACCUGAGAGGGUGAUCGGCCACACUGGAACUGAGACACGGUCCAGACUCCUACGGGAGGCAGCAGUAGGGAAUCUUCCGCAAUGGGCGAAAGCUUGACGGAGCAACGCCGCGUGAGUGAUGAAGGUCUUCGGAUCGUAAAACUCUGUUAUUAGGGAAGAACAAAUGUGUAAGUAACUAUGCACGUCUUGACGGUACCUAAUCAGAAAGCCACGGCUAACUACGUG
This 497-nucleotide ribosomal RNA is filed under the name uncultured bacterium. RNAcentral's name for it is "partial 16S ribosomal RNA". It matches the Rfam family "Bacterial small subunit ribosomal RNA", at positions 28 to 507 of the family's 1533-position model. The record is from RNAcentral.